Molecule: ribosomal RNA, 845 nt
Filed under: uncultured archaeon
Lineage: Archaea
Description: bacterial SSU rRNA
Rfam family: Archaeal small subunit ribosomal RNA
Source: RNAcentral
CAAAGGCAGACGGCUCAGUAACGCGUAGUCAAUCUACCCUAUGGACGGGAAUAACCUCGGGAAACUGAGAAUAAUGCCCGACAGAACAUUAUACCUGGAACGGUUUAUGUUUCAAAUGAUUUAUCGCCGUAGGAUGGGACUGCGGCCUAUCAGUUUGUUGGUGAGGUAAUGGCCCACCAAGACUAUUACAGGUACGGGCUCUGAGAGGAGAAGCCCGGAGAUGGGCACUGAGACAAGGGCCCAGGCCCUAUGGGGCGCAGCAGGCGCGAAACCUCUGCAAUAGGCGAAAGCCUGACAGGGUUACUCUGAGUGGUUCCCGCUAAGGGGAUCUUUUGGCACCUCUAAAAAUGGUGCAGAAUAAGGGGUGGGCAAGCCUGGUGUCAGCCGCCGCGGUAAUACCAGCACCCCGAGUGGUCGGGACGUUUAUUGGGCCUAAAGCAUCCGUAGCCGGUUCUACAAGUCUUCCGUUAAAUCCAACUGCUUAACAGGUGGGCUGCGGAAGAUACUAUAGAGCUAGGAGGCGGGAGAGGCAAGCGGUACUCGAUGGGUAGGGGUAAAAUCCGUUGAUCCAUUGAAGACCACCAGUGGCGAAGGCGGCUUGCCAGAACGCGCUCGACGGUGAGGGAUGAAAGCUGGGGGAGCAAACCGGAUUAGAUACCCGGGUAGUCCCAGCUGUAAACGAUGCAGACUCGGUGAUGGGCUAGCCUCGUGUCAGCCCAGUGCCGCAGGGAAGCCGUUAAGUCUGCCGCCUGGGGGAGUACGGUCGCAAGACUGAAACUUAAAGGAAUUGGCGGGGGAGCACCGCAAGGGGUGAAGCCUGCGGUUCAAUUGGAGUCAACGCCGGG